UGUCACCUACGGGGGGCAGCAGUGGGGAAUAUUGCGCAAUGGGCGAAAGCCUGACGCAGCGACGCCGCGUGAGGGAUGAAGUAUUUCGGUAUGUAAAGCUCUAUCAGCAGGGAAGAAAAUGACGGUACCUGACUAAGAAGCCCCGGCUAACUACGUGCCAGCAGCCGCGGUAAUACGUAGGGGGCAAGCGUUAUCCGGAUUUACUGGGUGUAAAGGGAGCGUAGACGGAGGAGCAAGUCUGAUGUGAAAAUCCGGGGCCCAACCCCGGAACUGCAUUGGAAACUGUUUAUCUAGAGUGUCGGAGA
Molecule: ribosomal RNA, 305 nt
Filed under: uncultured bacterium
Lineage: Bacteria
Description: bacterial SSU rRNA
Rfam family: Bacterial small subunit ribosomal RNA
Source: RNAcentral